GCAAAAAUUAACAGAGUCGCCAUCGAUAUUUAUUUGUUCCUAAAGAACGGGGAAAAUGUCGAAUAAAACCCAUAAAGGAAAGGGAAUGGUCAUCGCAACCAUAUCGGGUUCGGGAGUCGGUUACGCGAGGGGAAGGUAUUAGCACCCCUCACGUCUGUUGUACUCAACGGGACCCAUUUAGUUAGUUAUGCGUUUGAGUUUUAGUGUGAAUUAUUUGCUAUCUUCUACUUAGUGAGCGAGAAAAAAAAAAUAAAAGACGGGUUUUUGUUUUUUAGUUUAUUGGGCUCGCCAAGACAUCGUGUCUUGUGCCUACGUAUUCCCUCGUGCAAUGGGAAAGUCAGAGCUCCGUAGUUCGGGGUAAAAAAACCACGGGUUUGUUGGUUGAUUUUAGAAGAAUGAUGCAUUAGACAUUUCGAACGUUUGAACUUUGACUUGUUUGCUCGUCUGAGAGGCUAAGUCUAUUUGUUCGUUCUUCGUGUCGAAAUGGCUAAGACACAUUCGUUUUGAAAAUAUUUUCGAAGAGUCGCACAAGGGCGAAAAAAGAAGUUUGAUGAGUUUAAGUUGUUUUUUAUGUGAGUGACAAGUAUUGGAUCACAAGUCUAGAACAACAAACGAUCCAGUUACUAGGAAUCAGAGGAACAAAAUGUGUUCAACCAAUUGUUUUCACCCAAAAGUUUUCUUUAUUAAAAUGGUGAGGUGAAACAAGGUUCACUUAUUAGAGUUUAUUGUGCAUGGAGGACAAAUAUUAAACCAUAAGUCUAAAACAACCAACGGUGUAAUACUUGGAAAUGGAGGAACAAAUGGUGUUCAACCAAUCUUUUUCACACCAAGUUUAUUAAAAAUAUUUUGAAGAAAAAAGAGCCACACAAAUGUUUAUGAGAAAUAUUUUAAUCAAGUACGUAUUAGCAACAAACUACCAAAUAAAUAAACUAAAAAAAAUGUGAUAAAAAAUAACGUGAGACGAUAAAAAUAAAUAAAGGUAAUAUCAGCCAUACAAAUAAAACUUAAACCUAUUUCUAAAAGCACUCCCUUAAUUAAAUUAUAAAAUUAAUUAUUUGAAAUCUAAUUCUAAUUAAUAAUUAUAAAUAUAAUUAAACUAUGAACUACUGUAUUGAUAUUUUUCCAAGCAAAAGAAAAGUGGUUAAGUUUAUAUUGAUGAAUCGUAAAAAUCUGCCAGAAUUCAAAUCCUCCUCUACAACUCUCAAUUUUCGCUCUCCUCUCUAUUUUCUCUCUCACAUAAAGCUCGUUGGGAAACAGGCCGACCGCCGCGCCGGAAAUCUCCCUACGGCGGCGGCAGCGCCGGUCUACGGCCGACUAUCAAAAUUCGACACCCUCCCCACUAAUUCCUAUCUUCUAAACCCAAAUAUGGCAUCAGACUCUCCUAAUUUCAAGCCUAAACCCUUCAAAUCAGAAUAAAACUUUGAACCCUAAAUUCAAAAAAAUCUUAAAUCGAACUCUGUCCCUGAAGCUAAUUAGCAAAUCCUAUCGGAUCUAAGAUUAUACACACAGAUACACACAACAUGGCAUGGAAAAAACAAGAAGAGAAUGAAUCAAGGUACCUGGUUCGACGGCGCCGGCGAGUCUCUUCGGUUUGGAACUUUGGAGAUGUCAUACGGGAUGCGCAUCCUCGGAACUCUUUCUUUAGAUUAACUCAAAGAUAGCUACCAAUGUUAACCAAAUGACUCAAGGAACAGCUUAUUCAAAUUUGUAAGAAAUUGAUUCAGUGUAGCAAGCUGUAACGAAAUUGAUUCAAAUCUUUAUUUUGAAGUCCAUGUAGCUCAAUGUAACAAGAUAAUUCAAAGAGUUUGUAAUGAAAAUUCAAUUUCGUAUUAUUUCCCAUGACUUGAACUUGUAAUAGAGAUUCAAAUAGGCAUUCCUUUUA
Long non-coding RNA from Vicia villosa (hairy vetch), 1882 nucleotides. RefSeq lists it as uncharacterized. NCBI's taxonomy places the organism in Eukaryota, Viridiplantae, Streptophyta, Magnoliopsida, Fabales, Fabaceae. The record is from RefSeq and is a predicted model, not a curated record. The transcript is spliced from 2 exons.